GUGACUCUGAUUGCAUUUUAGUCGUUAACUGUUGUACCUAUCACUUCUUUUUGAUGAUCAGUUGCGCACCUGCUAAGUAAGAAUACCAGGCGUGGGAUGUGCAGAUAAAUUAUUUCCUGAGACUAAUAUUUUCAUUUGGUCUAUUGAAACAUAGGGCGUUUUCUAGGUAUUAUGGAAGAUAGAAGACCAGACUUGUCUCUUCAAUCAUAAAUCAUGUCAGGUACCGGCCAUUUAUGAUGAAACACGUUGCCUAGCUCGCGAUGAUUGGCGUAAAUGAUCACAAUAGCUUUUCAAGAAUAUGUAAGAAAGAGAAAGGAAUUAAAGGGGUUAUAUUAUAUGCCUCACCUAGUGGUUGCUCCUUUUGCAACUUGACGAACUAAAUCCGAUCCUGAUGUCAGUUGUAGGAGGGAAAUGCAGAGACAAAGAGGCAGAAAUCUUCUUAUUUUGGUUCAAAUCAUGUUCAUCUUCUGCAUUUGUGACAGCCGCCGCUAAAGCUUACUCAGUUUUACGUCAACAGAUGAUUCGAUCUCAAAUAUGAAGUUGUGUGACUACAUUAUUCCAGAGCAAUCAAGUUUCUAUGUGUCUUUGAGACUUUGAGUUGGUUUAAGAAGCAAUCUGUGUAAAUUGUAACCAAUGUCCAUAGACAUUUUAACCACUAAGCAUAAGGGUCACCAAUUUAUGGACGCUUCAGAAUAUAAGCAUUGGGGCCAUCAAUUGACUUACUCUUAGCUGCCAUCUCUUGUGAAUCCUCGUAAUAAUGUUAUGGAACAGACGGUUUUUUUUUCGGCUACUUGAGUAGUAUAGGCCUUGAUAGCUCUACUAAGCUCUACUAUUCUCUGGACAUUUGAAAAUUUCCUUGGGAUGUAAUCAUUACUUUCCACUUAGGAAAUGUAGAAAAGUAUACAGUAUAAUGUAUAAGGAUGACCAAAUAAUUAAAGAUACCUUUUCACGGUGAGAAAGAUGACGAAAAAAAAAAAGUAGAGGAAAGAGAAUAUUCGUGGAAUAUACGACUCUUUCAGUCUUUUGAGUAAAAAAUUAAAGCAAUCAUUAUUUUGGAUCGGCGCAAGUGAAAUCGUGCAACCAACGUUCCCCAAUCAAGAAUAUGUAAAGCUUGAGCGGUCUGAGAGUGAUAGUUCCAUACAUUGGGUUUGAAGAUGAUAGAUAAUGCGCUAUAGUAAAUUUUUUUUGACAGGAAUGAAAAAUGAAAUCUGGUUUAGGGGGAAACCUUUAUAAUUUUAGUGAACAACACGGGAACUAACAUUUCGUUCCAGACAAAGACGACUUU
Camelina sativa (false flax) is the source of this 1285-nucleotide non-coding RNA. NCBI's taxonomy places the organism in Eukaryota, Viridiplantae, Streptophyta, Magnoliopsida, Brassicales, Brassicaceae. The record is from RefSeq and is a predicted model, not a curated record.